UCGAGGAUCUUCGGCAAUGGGCGCAAGCCUGACCGAGCGACGCCGCGUGAGCGAUGAAGGCCUUCGGGUUGUAAAGCUCUGUCGGGGGGGAGAAAGGGGCAACCUUGAUCGACCCCCGGAGGAAGCACGGGCUAAGUUCGUGCCAGCAGCCGCGGUAAGACGAACCGUGCGAACGUUGUUCGGAAUCACUGGGCUUAAAGGGCGCGUAGGCGGACAAUCAAGUCAGGGGUGAAAUCCCACGGCUCAACCGUGGAAGUGCCUUUGAUACUGACGGUCUCGAGGGAGGUAGGGGCGUGCGGAACUUCCGGUGGAGCGGUGAAAUGCGUAGAUAUCGGAAGGAACGCCGGUGGCGAAAGCGGCGCGCUGGACCUCUUCUGACGCUGAGGCGCGAAAGCUAGGGGAGCAAACGGGAUUAGAUACCCCCGUAGUCC
This 431-nucleotide ribosomal RNA is filed under the name uncultured bacterium. RNAcentral describes it as "bacterial SSU rRNA". It matches the Rfam family "Bacterial small subunit ribosomal RNA", at positions 355 to 796 of the family's 1533-position model. The record is from RNAcentral.